This 407-nucleotide ribosomal RNA is filed under the name Ruegeria sp. EF2C-B774. RNAcentral describes it as "bacterial SSU rRNA". It matches the Rfam family "Bacterial small subunit ribosomal RNA", at positions 1 to 441 of the family's 1533-position model. The record is from RNAcentral. Lineage: Bacteria; Pseudomonadati; Pseudomonadota; Alphaproteobacteria; Rhodobacterales; Roseobacteraceae.
UAGAGUUUGGAUCCUGGCUCAGAACGAACGCUGGCGGCAGGCCUAACACAUGCAAGUCGAGCGCGCCCUUCGGGGUGAGCGGCGGACGGGUUAGUAACGCGUGGGAAUAUGCCCAAAGGUACGGAAUAGCCUCUGGAAACGGAGAGUAAUACCGUAUGUGCCCUUCGGGGGAAAGAUUUAUCGCCUUUGGAUUAGCCCGCGUUAGAUUAGGUAGUUGGUGGGGUAAUGGCCUACCAAGCCUACGAUCUAUAGCUGGUUUUAGAGGAUGAUCAGCAACACUGGGACUGAGACACGGCCCAGACUCCUACGGGAGGCAGCAGUGGGGAAUCUUGGACAAUGGGGGCAACCCUGAUCCAGCCAUGCCGCGUGAGUGAUGAAGGCCUUAGGGUCGUAAAGCUCUUUCGCCU